ACUUGGCUUCAACCUAGACUCUAACUCCUGGACUACUUCAUUGGGCUAUGCAAUUUUAGAAUUCAGUGGUCAUAAGAGAGUCAGUAUGCAAGAGGAGAGCCAAGUGACCUUGGUGUCAAAAGACCUAGGCUCAACUGCUGCCUCUACACAUUCUAUAUCUCCUGCUCUGGAUGAGGAAAUGCAAACUCAGUGGACUUAAGUGAUUUGCACAGCUGCUCAUUAUGCAUCUCAUAAGUGAGAGAGUCAGCUCUGGACCCACUUCUUUUGGAAUCCUAAGUCUAAUGCUCUGCCCACUAGACUGUAUUGCCUCUACAUCAUGAAGAAUGGAUUGGGAGCACUGGAAGGUCAAAUAUCCCUCACCAU
RNAcentral lists this long non-coding RNA (363 nucleotides) under Monodelphis domestica (gray short-tailed opossum). Its description in RNAcentral is "lncRNA (ENSMODG00000044458.1)". The record is from RNAcentral. Lineage: Eukaryota; Metazoa; Chordata; Mammalia; Didelphimorphia; Didelphidae.